Molecule: non-coding RNA, 2741 nt
Organism: Xyrichtys novacula (pearly razorfish)
Lineage: Eukaryota; Metazoa; Chordata; Actinopteri; Labriformes; Labridae
Source: the annotation of a GenBank genome assembly
UGUCAGUCUCUCCAGCCAGUCAGCCGGUGUAACUCGGUGGGGGAUCAAAGGCAGCAGGGUUUCUCUUUCUCCUUCCUUAGUUUUCCAGUCAGGUCACCCCCCCCCCCUUCCUUCCCCCUUUGCCUCCCCCACCUCCUCCUCCUCCUCACCCUCCUCCUCCUCCUCCUCUUCCUCAUCCUCCUCCUCAUCUCGCUUCCCUCUCUCCUCCUCUUCCCAAUUAUUCCCUGAUUUUCCUUCCUCGCCCGGCUGUUAAAUCCACUCUGCAUCCUUCUCUCCUUCUCAUCCACGGCGGCCGCUCGCUGCUCCUGCUUCCUCUCCGUCCAUCCGUCCGAGCCGAGGCGAAGGCGAGGAGUGUGUGCGUGUGUGCAGCCUCUCUUUCACUCCCUCUCCCUCUCCCUCUCUCUCUCUCUGCCUUCUCUCUUUAAUCAGCAUGUUAAUAAGAAAGGUAACUAAUCAAUACAUUCAAUGGCCUGGCUUGGCGAUUGAUACCAUCUCCAUCCACCUCCCCCUCGCUCUCUCCGCCAGCUAAACACACACAGGGUGACACACACACACACACACACACACACAAAUACACAGCUGGACUGGAGGAGGACUAUCUUGGGUGCAGGGCCCACUUAAUUCAGAUUACAACAUUUAAAAAACAGUCAAAUCUGAGCGGAUAGUCGAGGAUUUUGAGUGAUUCCCAGGUUACGAACGCGCAGGUGUGUAAAUAGUGACUCACUUCCGAGCAUCAAGGAACAAAAAUGGCCUUUGAGAUGAAACUUAAAGGUUGAAACUUCCAACGCUGAGAUGGAGGCUGUUACUGCAGACGAAUGCUUCAAGAAAACAGCUUCUAUUGAUCGUUCAAAUGCAGGGAGAAAAACACAAGAAAAGGACAUCUGCAGAUUUUGAUGUAACACAAGCAAAAACAAGGAAUGAUGCGGCAAAACCUCGUAGAGGGGAGAUUUCAGGUGCGAGGAUUUGAUUGGGUGGCCGUUUUGUUAAAUCACUCAAUAACGGAUCAAUUCCUAGUCAUACGGCGUCAUCUUAUUCGACGCAUAGGGAGUCUGGACAACACUGUCUGAGAACGAAUAUUACAACGCGAGGAUCACUUAGAUCCGCAAACCUCAAGCAGAACCAGAGCUCUACUGAGGACAGCCAUCUGCUUUUUCUAUAACCUUGGCUAUCGUCCCUUCUGAACCAAAACCAUAAACAGCCUCUCCAUGUUCAAGACCGUCGAACUGCCUCGGCUUUUGUCCUGGAGGAGAGGGCUUAAAAGGUCAAAGGUCCAGGAAGAGGCCACUAAAUCUGGAGCUGGACAAUACCCCUUUUUUCCACACCACAUCCGUUUAAUGUUCGACGAUUUUGAUGCCACGAAUAUUUCCUACUCUUUGCGGCUUCUCUCACUUGGCUGUAAGCGUUACGUUCGAGAUGCUGCGAUGAAUUUAUCCUGCUGCUGUUUUCAGUUUCUGCAGACCUUUAAAAUCUUUACAGCUGAGAGAAAACGGGGAACAAACUUUCCACUUCUAUGAGCAAAAGGCCAGGCCACCAUAUUGACAUUUUACCUUUUCUGAGAGACUCUCUGUGACUGUGUGCUACAGGAGUUCAGGGACGAGGUGAAAUGUGGAAACUGGUUUAAUUAUAGAGAUGAGGAAUUAAAGGGCUGUUUCAAAUAAAUAUUGCAGAAAUCAAACUGGAUCAUUUUUGACAAUUUGAAGCCAAGGCAAGAGAAAAGUACUGACACCAGCGUGUAGCGAAAAAGAUGAAUAAACAACUCGUACUGUAAUACUUCAUUUUACAGAUAUAAAAACAGGCAUGGAUUACUGACGGCUUCAGGAGACAGGAUCAAACUAUCAGGCUUAUUUGACGCUCAAAGCUAAGAUCGCCAUCGCAACUGACACCAACAUUUUUAGCAGAAGCUGUACGAACAUUUUUAAAGGUUUUAGGUUACCUAAAUGAGCAACGAUCAUUUCUGAAGUUGUGUUUUUCCCCCUAUCCCAUUUUUUCCCCUUGUUUGUCGCUCUUUUUUUCCGCUAUGCAAUCCCCAAAUCCACCCAUGUAGCAACUUUGGUGCACAGUUCAAUGCAACAAAAUAAAUCCAAUAUGAGAUUGUGCACUCAUAAUUGCACAAAAGGUUGCAAUUGGUGAUUGAAAUAAACAUGCACGUAUGUCCCCUCUUUUGAGUCAUCGGCUGCUCUGAUGUGUAUGCGUGUGUCUGUGCACAGCAAGAUUGUUUGGGUACAUGCGUGCAGAGUGACCAUUAUGGAAGCUAAUAAACAGAUGCAUGUUGAACUGGUAUAGUAUUAUACAUUUAGGUUUAACCAUUUUUUUCCAGAAAGAAGAGCUGUGCAUAAACACUGUUAUUGUGUUUGUAUUUUAAAGUGAUGCAUUUAUUUUAAAAAUUAGGGGAAUAAAGCUUUAAGAUAUUUUUAAUCGAGAAACACACAUAAUUAAUGCAUGCUCCCUAAUAACCAAGCCAACAGGCUCAUAAUACCCUUAUCAUAUUAGAGUUGCAAACCGAACUAUUGCUCACUAUAUCCAUUAAUUGCACUUGUCAUGAUAUAUGUUCUGGUAUUUGGUUCUCCCCUGGUUUUGUUCUGUUCAGUGUAUUUCUCUGUGAUUUUCCCUAGUGUUUCUGUUCUCCUGUAGUCCUGUCUUGUGAGUUUUCAGUUUGUGUCUGACAGUGUUUCCUGUUUUAUUUUGAAGUAGUUGAUUCCCUGUAUUUCCAGUCUACUAUUUCCUCAGUUUUCCCUCCUCUG